UACGUAGGAGACGAGCGUUGUCCGGAGUUACUGGGCGUAAAGGGUGCGCAGGUGGCGGCGCGCGUGGGGGGUGAAAUCGCCCGGCUUAACUGGGCGGGGGCCUUCCAGACGGCGUGGCUUGAGCAGCGGAGGGGGACGUGGAAUUCCGGGUGGAGCGGUGAAAUGCGUAGAUAUCAAGUGGAACACCAGUGGCGAAGGCGAGUCUCUGGACAUUUCCUGACGCUGAGGCACGAAAGCCAGGGGAGCAAACGGG
Molecule: ribosomal RNA, 253 nt
Filed under: uncultured bacterium
Lineage: Bacteria
Description: partial 16S ribosomal RNA
Rfam family: Bacterial small subunit ribosomal RNA
Source: RNAcentral